GAUGAACGCUGGCGGCGUGCCUAAUACAUGCAAGUCGAGCGAACAGAUAAGGAGCUUGCUCCUUUGACGUUAGCGGCGGACGGGUGAGUAACACGUGGGUAACCUACCUAUAAGACUGGAAUAACUCCGGGAAACCGGGGCUAAUGCCGGAUAACAUUUAGAACCGCAUGGUUCUAAAGUAAAAGAUGGUUUUGCUAUCACUUAUAGAUGGACCCGCGCCGUAUUAGCUAGUUGGUAAGGUAACGGCUUACCAAGGCAACGAUACGUAGCCGACCUGAGAGGGUGAUCGGCCACACUGGAACUGAGACACGGUCCAGACUCCUACGGGAGGCAGCAGUAGGGAAUCUUCCGCAAUGGGCGAAAGCCUGACGGAGCAACGCCGCGUGAGUGAUGAAGGUCUUCGGAUCGUAAAACUCUGUUAUUAGGGAAGAACAAAUGUGUAAGUAACUGUGCACGUCUUGACGGUACCUAAUCAG
This 476-nucleotide ribosomal RNA is filed under the name uncultured bacterium. Its description in RNAcentral is "bacterial SSU rRNA". It matches the Rfam family "Bacterial small subunit ribosomal RNA", at positions 28 to 486 of the family's 1533-position model. The record is from RNAcentral.